This 500-nucleotide ribosomal RNA is filed under the name uncultured bacterium. RNAcentral describes it as "partial 16S ribosomal RNA". It matches the Rfam family "Bacterial small subunit ribosomal RNA", at positions 30 to 523 of the family's 1533-position model. The record is from RNAcentral.
AUUGAACGCUGGCGGAAUGCUUUACACAUGCAAGUCGAACGGCAGCACGGACUUCGGUCUGGUGGCGAGUGGCGAACGGGUGAGUAAUGUAUCGGAACGUGCCCAGUCGUGGGGGAUAACGUAGUGAAAAUUACGCUAAUACCGCAUACGAUCUAUGGAUGAAAGCGGGGGAUCGCAAGACCUCGCGCGAUUGGAGCGGCCGAUAUCAGAUUAGGUAGUUUGUGGGGUAAAGGCCCACCAAGCCAACGAUCUGUAGCUGGUCUGAGAGGACGACCAGCCACACUGGAACUGAGACACUGUCCAGACUCCUACGGGAGGCAGCAGUGGGGAAUUUUGGACAAUGGGCGAAAGCCUGAUCCAGCCAUUCCGCGUGCAGGAUGAAGGCCCUCGGGUUGUAAACUGCUUUUGUACAGAACGAAAAGGUUUCUACUAAUACUAGGAGCUCAUGACGGUACUGUAAGAAUAAGCACCGGCUAACUACGUGCCAGCAGCCGCCGUAA